GACGAACGCUGGCGGCGUGCUUAACACAUGCAAGUCGAGCGGUAAGGCCCUUUCGGGGGUACACGAGCGGCGAACGGGUGAGUAACACGUGGGUGACCUGCCCUCAGCUCUGGGAUAAGCCUGGGAAACUGGGUCUAAUACUGGAUAUGACUCCACGGUGCAUGUCGUGGGGUGGAAAGCCUUGUGCGGCUGAGGAUGGGCCCGCGGCCUAUCAGCUUGUUGGUGGGGUGANGGCCUACCAAGGCGACGACGGGUAGCCGGCCUGAGAGGGCGACCGGCCACACUGGGACUGAGACACGGCCCAGACUCCUACGGGAGGCAGCAGUGGGGAAUCUUGCGCGAUGGGCGAAAGCCUGACGCAGCGACGCCGCGUGAGGGAUGACGGCCUCGGUUGUAAC
RNAcentral lists this ribosomal RNA (398 nucleotides) under uncultured bacterium. RNAcentral's name for it is "bacterial SSU rRNA". It matches the Rfam family "Bacterial small subunit ribosomal RNA", at positions 28 to 429 of the family's 1533-position model. The record is from RNAcentral.